GACGAACGCUGGCGGCGUGCUUAACACACGCAAGUCGAACGGAAAGACCCUGCUUUUGUGGGGUGCUCGAGUGGCGAACGGGUGAGUAACACGUGAGUAACCUGCCCUUGACUUUGGGAUAACUUCAGGAAACUGGGGCUAAUACCGGAUAGGAGCUCCUGCUGCAUGGUGGGGGUUGGAAAGUUUCGGCGGUUGGGGAUGGACUCGCGGCUUAUCAGCUUGUUGGUGGGGUAGUGGCUUACCAAGGCUUUGACGGGUAGCCGGCCUGAGAGGGUGACCGGCCACAUUGGGACUGAGAUACGGCCCAGACUCCUACGGGAGGCAGCAGUGGGGAAUAUUGCACAAUGGGCGGAAGCCUGAUGCAGCAACGCCGCGUGCGGGAUGACGGCCUUCGGGUUGUAAACCGCUUUCGCCUGUGACGAAGCGUGAGUGACGGUAAUGGGUAAAGAAGCACCGGCUAACUACGUG
Molecule: ribosomal RNA, 468 nt
Filed under: uncultured bacterium
Lineage: Bacteria
Description: partial 16S ribosomal RNA
Rfam family: Bacterial small subunit ribosomal RNA
Source: RNAcentral